Molecule: long non-coding RNA, 259 nt
Filed under: Mytilus galloprovincialis (Mediterranean mussel)
Lineage: Eukaryota; Metazoa; Mollusca; Bivalvia; Mytilida; Mytilidae
Source: RNAcentral
GCCAAAAAAUAUGAAAACUUGACGUUCGUGACGUCACAUACAAUAUGAAAAAUCGACGUUCGUGACGUCACAUACCAAACAAUGACGUCAUUCAAAAAAUUUACCUAUUUUGAGGAAAAUUUUUCUUAAGCCAAAAAAAAAAAACCAAAACUGACUUUAUGUAAAAAAAAAAAAAAAAAAAAAAAAAAAAAGUAGGGGUGUGAUAAAGGGUAUGCGAUAAAGGGUGCGCAUCAAAGUUGCGUGAUAUGGAUUAAACAGC